UACGAAGGUCCCAAGCGUUAUCCGGAUUUAUUGGGUUUAAAGGGUGCGUAGGCGGCCCGGUAAGUCAGUGGUGAAAGCCUCCAGCUCAACUGGAGAACUGCCAUUGAUACUGCCGGGCUUGAGUACAGACGAGGUUGGCGGAAUUGAUUGUGUAGCGGUGAAAUGCAUAGAUACAAUCAAGAACUCCGAUUGCGUAGGCAGCUAACUAGGCUGUAACUGACGCUGAGGCACGAAAGCGUGGGGAGCGAACAGG
This 253-nucleotide ribosomal RNA is filed under the name uncultured bacterium. RNAcentral's name for it is "partial 16S ribosomal RNA". It matches the Rfam family "Bacterial small subunit ribosomal RNA", at positions 524 to 776 of the family's 1533-position model. The record is from RNAcentral.